RNAcentral lists this ribosomal RNA (587 nucleotides) under uncultured bacterium. RNAcentral describes it as "bacterial SSU rRNA". It matches the Rfam family "Bacterial small subunit ribosomal RNA", at positions 338 to 916 of the family's 1533-position model. The record is from RNAcentral.
CCUACGGGAGGCAGCAGUAGGGAAUCUUCCGCAAUGGACGAAAGUCUGACGGAGCAACGCCGCGUGAGCGAAGAAGGCCUUCGGGUCGUAAAGCUCUGUUGUUAGGGAAGAACAAGUACGAGAGUAACUGCUCGUACCUUGACGGUACCUAACCAGAAAGCCACGGCUAACUACGUGCCAGCAGCCGCGGUAAUACGUAGGUGGCAAGCGUUGUCCGGAAUUAUUGGGCGUAAAGCGCGCGCAGGCGGUCCUUUAAGUCUGAUGUGAAAGCCCACGGCUCAACCGUGGAGGGUCAUUGGAGACUGGGGGACUUGAGUGCAGAAGAGGAGAGUGGAAUUCCACGUGUAGCGGUGAAAUGCGUAGAGAUGUGGAGGAACACCAGUGGCGAAGGCGACUCUCUGGUCUGUAACCGACGCUGAGGCGCGAAAGCGUGGGGAGCAAACAGGAUUAGAUACCCUGGUAGUCCACGCCGUAAACGAUGAGUGCUAAGUGUUAGAGGGUUUCCGCCCUUUAGUGCUGCAGCUAACGCAUUAAGCACUCCGCCUGGGGAGUACGGCCGCAAGGCUGAAACUCAAAGGAAUUGACGG